GAUGAACGCUGGCGGCGUGCCUAAUACAUGCAAGUCGAGCGAACGGAUGAGAAGCUUGCUUCUCUGAUGUUAGCGGCGGACGGGUGAGUAACACGUGGAUAACCUACCUAUAAGACUGGGAUAACUUCGGGAAACCGGAGCUAAUACCGGAUAAUAUUUUGAACCGCAUGGUUCAAAAGUGAAAGACGGUCUUGCUGUCACUUAUAGAUGGAUCCGCGCUGCAUUAGCUAGUUGGUAAGGUAACGGCUUACCAAGGCAACGAUGCAUAGCCGACCUGAGAGGGUGAUCGGCCACACUGGAACUGAGACACGGUCCAGACUCCUACGGGAGGCAGCAGUAGGGAAUCUUCCGCAAUGGGCGAAAGCCUGACGGAGCAACGCCGCGUGAGUGAUGAAGGUCUUCGGAUCAUAAAACUCUGUUAUUAGGGAAGAACAUAUGUGUAAGUAACUGUGCACAUCUUGACGGUACCUAAUCAGAAAGCCACGGCUAACUACGUGCCAGCAGCCGCGGUAAUACGUAGGUGGCAAGCGUUAUCCGGAAUUAUUGGGCGUAAAGCGCGCGUAGGCGGUUUUUUAAGUCUGAUGUGAAAGCCCACGGCUCAACCGUGGAGGGUCAUUGGAAACUGGAAAACUUGAGUGCAGAAGAGGAAAGUGGAAUUCCAUGUGUAGCGGUGAAAUGCGCAGAGAUAUGGAGGAACACCAGUGGCGAAGGCGACUUUCUGGUCUGUAACUGACGCUGAUGUGCGAAAGCGUGGGGAUCAAACAGG
RNAcentral lists this ribosomal RNA (766 nucleotides) under Staphylococcus aureus. RNAcentral's name for it is "bacterial SSU rRNA". It matches the Rfam family "Bacterial small subunit ribosomal RNA", at positions 28 to 776 of the family's 1533-position model. The record is from RNAcentral. Lineage: Bacteria; Bacillati; Bacillota; Bacilli; Caryophanales; Staphylococcaceae.